This 438-nucleotide ribosomal RNA is filed under the name Eimeria mitis. RNAcentral describes it as "bacterial LSU rRNA". It matches the Rfam family "Bacterial large subunit ribosomal RNA", at positions 1280 to 1811 of the family's 2925-position model. The record is from RNAcentral. Lineage: Eukaryota; Apicomplexa; Conoidasida; Eucoccidiorida; Eimeriidae.
AAAUAGAAGUGAAAAUGUCAGCUUAAGUAGCAUAAAUAUUAGUAAAAUCUAAUACUCCGAAAGCUAAAAGGUUUCCUAUGGAAGGGUAUACCACGUAGGUAAAGUCGGGGACUAAAAUUAGAUUUAAUAUGUAAUUGAUGGUUAAAAGGUUAAAUUUCCUUUACCAUAAUAUAUAAUCUAAACAAAUAGUGACCUAUAGUUUUUUAUUAUAUUUUUAAGGUAUAGUUUCUUAAUAUAAUAAAAUAAUAUAGCUAGAAAAAUGUAUAUGUUAUAUAUAUAUUAUGCCCGUACUAAAACUGACACAAGUAAGCAAGUAUAAAUAUACUAAGGAGUACGAAAUAACUUUCUCUAAGGAACUCGGCAAAAUAAUUCUGUAACUUCGGGAAAAAGAAUGCCCAAAGGGCUGCAAUGAAAAGAUCCAAGCGACUGUUUAUCAAA